This is a long non-coding RNA of Mustela erminea (ermine), 845 nucleotides long. RefSeq lists it as uncharacterized. The record is from RefSeq and is a predicted model, not a curated record. Lineage: Eukaryota; Metazoa; Chordata; Mammalia; Carnivora; Mustelidae. The transcript has 2 exons.
GGUAAACACACACCGUGGGAGGAAGGGGGUCGCCACCCUCGCGCCCGCCGCCACCCUCGCGCCCGCCGCCAUGUCCGCAAAGCCUUCCAUCUCCCAGGUGAGCAGGGGCCAGGAGCCGAGAGCUGGCGGUAGCGCCGACUCCUCUGCGCUGUCAAGAUCAGGACCCGAUCUUGGGUCUGUAAUGGUGAUCUCAGCGGCAGAGCGGGGACUGGACCCUUCUUACCUACGGCAGGCGGUGGGCCCGGGGUGGUCCAGAAACACAGCCAAGUGGCCCUUUCCAGCAACUUGAUGCCUAUUUCGAGCCAUUUUGCAAAGGCAGAGGUGACUUCAAAAAGCAGGUCAGCAGACCCCAGCAGCGGAGUGGGACCAGACGGUUACCAGCAGCGCCUGAUCUACGUUUACUGGACAACGGGGGAGAUCGGCUGAGGUAAUCAAGUUAAGAAGAGCUCACUGGGAGGGGGGGGCCUUCUGCAGUGUAGGUGUCCCUACAAAAAGGGGAUAUUUAGACCGAUGUGUACAAAGGAGAGAUGACAUAAAGACGCAGAGGGGACGGUGGCCAUGUGACCUCAGAGAAGUUUCCACAAGCCAACAACGGCUGGCAAAGGCCAGGAGCUGGAGGGGGCAGGAAGGACGCCCCCCACCCCGCAGCGCCAUCAGGGGGAGCCUGGCCCUGCCGACGCCUGCAUCUCGGACUUCUGGGAGAGAACAACUUUCCGUUGGGUUGAGCCCCCAGUUCGUGGUGCUUCAUACGACAGCCUCGGGACACUAACCAACCUCAGACACUAGAUCAGUGUCUUUUUCCUAGUUCUAAGGAUCCUUAUUUUGUCCAAAAACAGGAGAUACUG